Molecule: long non-coding RNA, 6509 nt
Organism: Myotis daubentonii (Daubenton's bat)
Lineage: Eukaryota; Metazoa; Chordata; Mammalia; Chiroptera; Vespertilionidae
Source: RefSeq, a predicted model, not a curated record
AGAGAGCAGAGUUGAAGCUCCUUGAUGCUUUGGGCUGAGCAAGAGGGUGGUAUGAAAAAAUCACCUCAAGUUGCUUUUUCUAAGAAGAUGCAUUGAGAGCUGUCCAUAUUUUUUGUUGCUUGAUAGUUUAAGAGAUUUUGUGCCCUGGUAGCUUUCUUGCCUUUUCUCUCUCUUUAAAGAGAUUUCUUAGCAAGGAAGUCAAAUGCAUAGUUUUGAGUGAACAUGUUAGAAAGAAUGUGAGUCACUUAAGUUGUGAAGAACAUGCAUGAAUGAAUUCUUUGGUGAUAAAGAUUAUGCUUGUCAGAAUCUACUGUGAUUUACGGUACCAGGUUAGAGAAUUUUCUGGAGCCAUUUUUGACUAGCCACUCCUUAUUAUAUUCAAGAAUCAGUUCUCUAUUGCUGCAUAACAAACUAUCUUAAAACUUAGUGGCUUAAACACCUACGGGAAUUUAUUUUGCUCAUGAAUCUGCAGGUUAGGUGGAGUUUGGCAGGGAGAGUUUGUUCCACAUAACUUUGGCUGAGGCAGAUCUGUAGGGGCUGGAGAAUCCCUCACAUGGCUAGUAUGUUAUUGCUAGCUGCUGUCUAGGAGCUAAGUGAGGGCUCGGGUUCGGAUACUUCAGGUCCUCUCUUAAUUAACUGCUUACACAUCCUCACGGUACGGUGUCUGAGUUCCAGGAGUGAAUAUCGUAGAAGACAGAAUAGAAACAAUUCUCAGUUUCUUUAGCAUUUCUGCCCUAUUCUACAGGUCAAGCAGGCACAGAGUCUAGAUUCCAGAGGAGGAGAUGGAGAAUCGUACUUAAAACUUUUUUUUUAAUUUUUAAAAAAUAUAUUUUUAUUGAUUUCAGAGAGGAAGGGAGAGGGAGAGAGAGCUAGAAACAUCAAUGAAGAAAGAAAAUUAUUUAUCUGGCUUCCACCUGCAUGUCCCCCAUGGGGGAUCGAGCCCGCAACCUGGGCAUGUGUUAUGAAUCAUGACUUCCUGGUUCAUAGGUUUACGCUCACACUGGCGAGGCGAGAAUUGUACUUUUUAAAAAAUUCAGGUAAAGUUCACAUAGUAUAAAUUCACAAUUUAAAUAAUUUCAAGCCUACAGUUCAGUGGCUUUUAGUACAUUUCACAGUGUUGAGAACCCUACUUUUGGAUGAGAGUAGUAUCAAAGAAUUUGGGCCCUUUUUUAAAACUAACAGAAUGGGAAAAGUAUUUUAACUCUGUGACUAAAUAGGAAUAUGGGACUUAGGAAAUCAGCAACUCCAUGCCACUCUCAGGGGUCAGAAUCUUAGUAAAUAUCUCUGGUAAGGCAUAGUCUUACUUCCUAGGUCCAGAAGAAACUCACUGGGUAGAAAACAUGGAGAUUUCAUGAUUUUUUUGAAUCACAGCCCGAAAUACCACCUGAAAAUAUCCUUGGGAAGCAUUAGAUUUUUCCUGUUCAAGAAACAGGUUCACAGAGAAAAGGAUCUUGUGUAGAACAUUGGUCUAAAUGUGAUGAUAGGUAUGACCUUGCUGUGCUUCAUUGUGUUCAGUUGCCCCCCAGGAUGCCCCAGCUCAGGAUGGUGCUCUGUGGCUUCAGGGCUGGCCACACAGGGGUAGGAGGAGUUCUUUUUGUUUUGUUACAGCUUAUUUUCAUCUUCCAAUGUAAUCACACAUUUUAACAGAGAUGAUCUGUUUCCAGGGUCCAAUGUGACCAUAUAAAAGAGAAUGGACUGUAACUUAGAAGAGGGGGAUUUGGUGAAGUUAAAAGGAUGAGCUUCCCAGUGAUGAGAUUUGGUAAAACACCAAAGCUAGUGUAACUUGAGUCAUGUUGGAGACCUUUCGUUUUUGACUUGACUUUGAUACUAAUCUAAUUGGAGUCAGAUGGAACAGGUAUUUCUUGGUUCCUUCUAGCCAGCAGUUGUUAAAAGAUCACUGAAUACUGGUAUGUGGGUUGUCUGCUUCAGAAUCAUUUUGAGUUUUUGUUUUGUUUUGUUUUUUAUAAAUCCCUUGGCCCAACCUACAUGAUUCUAAUACAGUAGGUCUAGGGUGAGACCCAGAAGUCUGUCUUAUGCUUUUUUUUUUAAUGUGCUCUUGGAGUCAUUGUAAAGUAUGGUCAGGGUUCAGGAACCGCAAGUCCUAAGUAUUAGUGUUUUCCAGGCCAUUUCCCCCCCUUGGAAGUACUCAGUUUAUUGUCAGAAAGGGAAAGUGCCUACCCAUCAGUUACUAGAGCAGUGGUGCUUGGCUCAGGCCUGUGGGCAGAGUUGUAGUAGACAUGCUCUUUUGGGCUCAUCUCAUGUCUAUGAGGAGCUUUGCCAACAGUAAGGUUCAAAUCUACUUGUGCCCUUGGUUUCCUCCUCUUUUCCCCUUCUCUAGUUCUGUAUAGCUGAGGUAGAGACAGUGACCUUCAGAAAUGGCUCAGAGACUGGCUUUAACCAGUGCUUCGGAAAUGAGAAUUAAAAAGGAUAAAACUUUUUCUUUGAAGUGGUAAAUAAAACACUUGGCCUACCACCUAAACAAGCUGACCCUGAUUUACCAGGCCUCUUGGUAGAUGUGUAGAAGGGGGUAAAGAGAGAUAUUUUCAAAAGAAAACUUGAUUUUUAUUUUUUUUUACAAGUAAUGCAUGUGAACUAUACAAAUUCUUUAAUUCAAAAAAAGAAAAAUGAUUUAUAAAUUUACCACUUGUAGAAAAUCAUAAACAUAUUGGUGAUGUCAGUGCAUAUACAAGUAAAUACAUGCACCUAUCAAUUUUACAAAAAAUGGGAUGAUGUGCUGGCCAAUGUUGCACAGAGAUUGAGCCCAUGAGCCAGGAGGUCACAGUUCAAUUCCCAGUCAGGGCACAUGCCCAGGUUGUGGGAGGGGGCGUGCAAGAGGCAGCUGAUCGAUGAUUCUCUCUCUCAUUGAUGUUUCUAUCUCUCCCUCUCUCUGAAAUCAAUAAAGCAUAUUUAAAUUUAAUAAAGGAAUGAUAUUGUACAGUAACCACCUUUUUCCCUGAUGUGUUUAUCAUGAAUAUCAUGCCAUUUAAUUCCAUGGAGGACUCAGAUUCAACGUGUAUCCAAGCACCUUUUAAAAAAAAUCCUCUUUAUUUUUAAGUCCUCACUUGAGGACAUUUUUUCCAUUGCUUUUCAGAUGGGGAGGGAGAGAACAGAGAGAGAGAGAGAGAGACACACACACACACACACACACACACACACACACAUCAACUGGUUGCCUCUUGCACUUGCCCCAACCAGGAGUGGGGAAGCAAAACUGCAAUCCAGGUAUGUGCCUUUAACUGUGUCCUAGACCAGGAAUCAAACCUGCAACCCUUUGGUACGUGGGCCAGUGUUCUAACCACUGAACAAAACCAGUGAAGUCUCUAAGCACCUUUUAAUAGUUCCAUUGUGUGCACAUACCUGUUUUUUUUUUCAACGGAGGCGUGGUUAUUUAGGUUGUUUGCAGUUUUUCCUGUUACAAAAUACAUUGUCUAGAUUAGAACAUUGUUGUAGUUAAAUCUUUGUGUAUGUCUGUGGCUAUUUUUGUGAGCCACAGUCCUAGAAGUGGAAUUUCAAGGUCAUGUAUGUGGCUAGGAUCCCCACCAGAAACAUGGUACCAUUUUAGUCCUCUCCCAACAGGGCGUGAGCAGCCUGUUUGCCCACAACCUACCAGCAUUGGAAGUUGUCAUUUUAAACAAAUUGUCCUUUGUGCUGUUGAAAGUUUUGGAAAAUGUGAUUGUGUGGUGAAUCAGUUCAUCUUCUCUAGAACAUAGCCACUAUCUCUACAAGGCAGGGAUAGUCUGGUCCCUUGGUAACAGGCUUUGUGCUGGGACCCUCCCCCUGUGGAACUUAGUUGAAUGGAGUUGACAGACCUUAACAUUAGUAUCAAAAGUGCAGUGAGUGCUAGAAUGGAAAAGCAUCAUGCAUUGAAAGCAUAAAAUGCCUUGGUUAGAGUGGAGUAAUGGUGGAGUAUUCAGAGACGUUCUCUCUGAGGAAGUCAUUAAAGCUGAGACUAAGGAUGAGCUAAAGAGCAGGGCAGGACGUACCUUCCCAGCCAAGGGAGUAGUAGCCCAUCAUGCAAAAAUUGGGAAAGCACUUUUACUUUAUUUUAAAUCUAAGGCUUGUGCUAAUAAAGGAUGACUUAAGUGUCUGAGCUGUUAGGAGUAAAAUGGUCAUAGCUACAGUAUCAGUAAUAGGGAAAAACGGGAGCUAGCCAUUUCCAUUAGUAAGGAAAUGGCUAUAUGUAUACAUUUAUCAAAGGGAGAACCAGAGUGUGGUAAAUCUGUAUACAUAGGUAUGAAAGGCGGCUCAUAAUUUAUUGAAUGGAGGGACUCAAGAUCCAGAACUGCUGUUACCAGAACUGCUGUUAUGCAUUUAGUGUGAUACUGAUUGUGUUUAGGUAAACAAAAAAGCCAUGUGUGUGUGAGCGCAGUUUCUAUCCUGACUGUUAUAUCAAACUUUAAAGUUUUUUCUUGGUAGUGGUAGACGACAAACUUUUAAGAAAUUGUGCUGAAGUUUCUUCCUGGUCUUGAGUCCUUCUCUUCACUUGGACCAGGGAUAUAUUUAGGUAGAACUAAAACUAAAACUGGAGACUUUAAUCCUCAUUAUAUGAUCAGGGUCCACUGAACUCAGUUUUUAUUUUUGAGCUUUAUUUCCAAGCUCUGUAAGGAUUUACACUGCAUGACCUUUAUUUCUUUUUUAGAUGUCUUACAAAGAAAAGAGAAAAUAUACUUAUUUUUAAAAUAGAAUAAAAUUUAUUCUAUCUUACAGUGAUUAUGUAGGUCCAUGGACCUUUUUAUGAAUCUAUACAGUAUGAAAUUUUAAUUCUUCUAGUUUUUAAACAUUUUUGCUGUUUGUCAUCCUACAUAUCAUUUCAGUACUAUUCAUCAUAUAUUCCCAAAUAUGAUAAGCAAGACUAAAAUAAUAAGAAAAUGGACGAAUAAUGAAACCUCUAGGUAGAUGAUACAGUAGUAAAGUAAUUGUCAUUAUUACAUCAUCCUUUAAUGUUCUUAUUGCAUUGCCUAAUGUAUUGCAUUGUCUUUUAAGAAGAUACAAAAGAAGACUAGAGAUGCCAUCUUUUUACUCUACUUUUAGCAUUCAUUGAACCCAGAUUUUAUUGCUGAACCAUACACUAUGGGAUUGAUGUUAACAGUAAUUCCCACUUCAUGAAGGUCUUUGAUCCAUCUUGAGUUAAUUUUUGUAUAUGGUGUAAGGUAAGGGUCCAACUUCAUUUUUUUGCGUGUGAAUAGUUUUUCCAGCACCAUUUGUUGAACAUACCUAACUUUAAAAUACAGGAUUAUUUUUCUUUUUAAUUUAAAACCAAUUUAACAAAUAAAUGUCAACCCAAGCGUCUGUGAAACCUAUGCCUUUUAAGGUACCUUGCUUGAAGAUUUCCGGCUUUAAGGAUUCACUCAUAAAAAGGCAGGCCUUCUUUCUCCUGAGGGUUUAAAUUACAGGAAUAAAAGUGUGUUUAGCUUAAUAAACUUAAUACUAUGCAAAUAGUUUGAUCAGGCAGAGAGCGACAUGAAACUAGAUUGGAAGAACAUUAGAAGGUAGAGAAGGAAGUAUAAAUAGUAUCUGGGGUAAACUUAUUUGUACAGGAUUAUAUUCUUGAUUGCAUUUUUUUAAAACUUUCAGUUUUAUUUCUUUUAAUUACACCUUAAAAUAAUGAUUCAGUAUAGGUGUAGGAUGUACUUGAUAAAAUGUAAGAAAAUCCUGGAUGGCCCCAUACACCUUGCCCACUCAACAAUUUCAGCCACAGGUUCCUGUCAGAUAGUUCAGAUCUUGGAAAUGGGGUUUUACAAUUGUAUGACUACAGAGUCCCAAUAAUAUAAGGAAAAACACAGCUUGCUUGCCAUGGUUUGGGGGCACUUUGUUGUUACCAAGCUUAUCUAAUUUUUUCUAUUAAUCAUGGCAGUGCAAUAUAGAAUCAUGUUAUCAGCGUGCGCAGAAUUGAUCUCUGUCACUCUUUAGGCUCAAGCCCUGGCUGGAGGACUGUAAAUGAACCUGGUUUCAGAUAUAGAGUUUCAGCCUUUGUUCAGGAGACUUUAUUAGUUUUUUAUUUUUACCAGCAGCAGCAAGUAUGAGAUGCUUGGCAGUUUCAUAAUAGUUCCACUGCAUCCUUUUGGGAAAAAGUGGUUUCCAAGGACUUCAUGUCCAGAUAAGAAACAUUAGGUGGAGAGACUUAUAUUUGAACUUGCCAAGUCCCACACAAGUCUGCCUGUGUUUUGACUUUUUCCAAAAUGUGACUUGACAGUCCUUGAGGAGGGCUUUAAAGUCACUCUGCCUGAGCAGCCAGGGCAUCUCACUAUGCCAUGAUUAGGCUGAUUUCAUACCCAAAAGUCCAUUAUAUGUACAUUGUUUAUGGUGGAUUUAUGAGGUGCAGUCUGACCCAAGUUUGAUAGAACACUUUUUUUUAACCUUUUAAAUUCACUGACACAUGGUAGCGUGUGGCCUUGUUCUCACUGGUUUGAUGCUCAGUCCAUAAAGCCAAGGUUCAGUGUUUUUAAGGUUUAUCACAGCUGGGAUGUUGAUGGUUUUAAUAAGAGUUAACUACUAAACAAUUAUUAUUC